Long non-coding RNA from Austrofundulus limnaeus, 978 nucleotides. RefSeq lists it as uncharacterized. The transcript is spliced from 3 exons. Lineage: Eukaryota; Metazoa; Chordata; Actinopteri; Cyprinodontiformes; Rivulidae. The record is from RefSeq and is a predicted model, not a curated record.
CACACAUGCAGAGACACUGAGAUGGUACUCUGUUAAGAUGUGAUUAGGCUGACUGUCAGUUGUGAAGGGUCCUAUCAAGGUUCACUGCACGCCAAGAGCACACAAACGACAUUCUUAGCCAGCCUGCUUGACAGACCACUAGUGGAGGAAUGUCAAAGCUGGAAAUAACAGCCGGCCCUGACUUACAGCUGGACCGACAACGAAUGGGGCCUCGCCAGCUGGAAAAAAAAAAGGCAAGAGGGGAUAGACCUGAAGAGCAUGUUGAAAACAGGAAAGAGGAUCAAGCUUUGUUACUUUUUAACCACGGACUGCUCACAAGGAAGUUUCACCAUGUUCACCACCUGCACUGCCACUAAAGGCUUGAACUCACUGUGCCACUCACGUGUUUUGGACUCCAGGUCACUCUGCUGAAGAUCAGACACUGUUGGAUUUCCCCUGGUUGUGCCGGACAGAGAUCACCAAAACCUCCCUGGGUCCAAAUGAUACAGCACCUGUAAAUAAAAAUACUUUCUCUUUGCAAAACUCUCUGUGUGAGCUUACUCGGUUCCGCUUUUCAGGUACCGGUAAGUCUUUUCAUUGUGUCAGCAUAUAGCCCUGUGGACCAGCAGGUACCAGUUAUCAACCACAUUUUUUUUUUGCUAGAGGAGACCAAAUAGUCUUUCACAAGAGCUUGAAAUUUUAUUAAAGUUGGGUAUUUUCCAGGUACAUAGCUCAUUUCUAUACCACAAGUAAAUUAUGAGAAUGAUGUAUGUAUCAAAAAUGCUUCUGGGGGACAGUUACUCUGUGGGUCUGGGGCUCUGCUUUGUGUAAAUARGCAGUGCUUUGUACAAGUGAGCGUUUAUGCAACUCCACAUGGCUACCACAGGAUAUUAAAAGUUUCUCAAACAUGCAUGAAUGAGUCAAAUCAACAUUGUGUGUGUUUUUGAUGAGGAAAUGAUAUWAUAAAGYGAUAURAAGCUAAACAAAGUUGMUUUUGAA